CCUAAGUGUGAGUGUUGCAGCCAUGCUCAUUGGGGUUUCCAAUGUAACCAGAAUUCUAAUAACUCUAGGCCUGAUCUUGGAACUGGAACCUCAGAAUGUUAACUGGGAAUUCUUAAGUAACUAUAAUAAAUACACAAGCAAUAGAUCAGGCAACACUGUGCAAGUUCUAAGGGAAAUAAACCUGAAAGAAUCACUGUUCCUGAAUGGAAAGAGGACAGAGGGCAGAAGCUCAAGCCUUAUUCAGCUUCAGAAGUGAAAAGAAGGAACUGGGCAGAACAUCCAUGAGAUGCAGGUGGAUGUCCAUGUGGCAUUUUCUGACCCACCAAAGGCACCUGUCAGAGGAGGAGGUUGAGAAUGAUAAAGACAUGGCAGACUUGAACUGGCUGAUGCUGCUCACAAGUCCUGGUGUAGCCACUGAUACCCCCUAUGUAGACCAGCAUAUCUGGUGCAGAGUCACAGGCACAGACUGGUGGGCUCACAUUGUCAUGCAGCCCUGGGUAGCCCAUCAGUGGGUCCAUAACUUUUGCAUGAAGAAAGCUACAUUUCUGAAGCUUUGUAAGCUGCUUUCCCUGACCCUCUAGCAUCACAACACCAGCCUUUGCUGGUCUAGAAACAGGUUGCUAUAACCAGCUUCAAGCUGGCUACCCUGGACUGCUACAGGUCUGUUGCUAACCAGUUUGGUGUUGGAAAGUCGACCGUGGGAAAAGUGUCUGAUGCAGUCAGGUGUGUGAUUGACCCAAAGGUAGUGGGCAUAAACCAUAUUCCUGAAGUAAAUGGCGGUUUUGAGAGUGGAGUUUCCAAACUGCGCUGGGCCCAUUGAUAGGACUCAUGUGCCUAUAGUUUGCCCUCCUCAAGGAUCACAUGAGUACAUAAACCACAAAGAGUAUUACUCCAUUGUUAUGCAGGCCCUCAUGGACCAGAGGCCAAGUUAUGAACACCAAUAUGGGCUGUAUUAGAAAAGUUCAUGAUGCUAUGGUUUUCCACUGAUCAGGAGUCCACCUUCAUUGUCAGUCAGGGACACUCUUCCCACCAAAUGACAACUGGAGUUACUGCUCCACUGUUAUUCUAAGGGAGCUUGCGCACCCCCUUUUCCCUUGGCUUAUGAAACCUGAUCUCAGAGAACUUGCCAAAGAAGGUUUAAUUACACACUCAGUUGGCAUAGAAUGGUGGUUGAAUGUGUGUUUGGCAGAUAGAAAUCCCAAUGGUGCUGUUUACUGAACUGUUUGAACUCCAGUGUUGUCAAUGCUGGCUGCAUUAUUGUAGCUUGCUGUGCUCUUCACAAUCUUUAUGAAGCCAAAGGUGAGCCAU
Molecule: long non-coding RNA, 1308 nt
Organism: Mauremys reevesii (Reeves's turtle)
Lineage: Eukaryota; Metazoa; Chordata; Testudines; Geoemydidae
Exons: 3
Source: RefSeq, a predicted model, not a curated record